Molecule: non-coding RNA, 29 nt
Filed under: Mus musculus (house mouse)
Lineage: Eukaryota; Metazoa; Chordata; Mammalia; Rodentia; Muridae
Source: RNAcentral
UUUCCUGAUUUGUCAGGUAGGUGCUUAGG